CCCGGGCGUGGCACAGCAGGUCGAAACAGGAGCGGUCCGCACAGCCCACUAUCUCGAUCCAGCCCUGCAGGACACAGAAGGAACAGAGACAGGGUUAUUAUGGGGCGGCAGGGUAGCCUAGUGGUUAGAGGAGGCAGGUAGCCUAGUGGUUAGAGUGUAGAGGUGGCAGGUAGCCUAGUGGUUAGAGGAGGCAGGUAGCCUAGUGGUUAGAGUGUAGAGGUGGCAGGUAGCCUAGUGGUUAGAGUGUAGAGGUGGCAGGUAGCCUAGUGGUUAGAGGAGGCAGGUAGCCUAGUGGUUAGAGUGAAGAGGUGGCAGGUAGCCUAGUGGUUAGAGGAGGCAGGUAGCCUAGUGGUUAGAGUGUAGAGGUGGCAGGUAGCCUAGUGGUUAGAGGAGGCAGGUAGCCUAGUGGUUAGAGUGAAGAGGUGGCAGGUAGCCUAGUGGUUAGAGGAGGCAGGUAGCCUAGUGGUUAGAGGAGGCAGGUAGCCUAGUGGUUAGAGGAGGCAGGUAGCCUAGUGGUUAGAGGAGGCAGGUAGCCUAGUGGUUAGAGGAGGCAGGUAGCCUAGUGGUUAGAGGAGGCAGGUAGCCUAGUGGUUAGAGCGUUGGACUAGUAACCGAAAGGUUGCAAGUUCAAAUCCCCGAGCUGACAAGGUACAAAUCUGUCGUUCUGCCCCUGAACAGGAAGUUAACCCACCAUUCCUAGGCCGUCAUUAAAAAUAGGAAUUUGUUCUUAACUGACUUGCCUGGUUAAAUAAAGGUUUAAAAAAAAAAAAAAAUUAAAAAAUCAACACAAGAUAAGAACUUCAAAUUGUAGACACAGCUAGCAGUGGAGGGUGGGACCGACAUAGGAUGUUUUGGUCUCUGCGUCCCAGCAGUCACAGUGGGUUAAGGUUAGGGGUCAGGGGUCAUGGAGGACCUACAUAGGAUGUUUUGGUCUGCGUCCCAGCAGUCACAGGCAUAGUGGGUUAAGGUUAGGGGUUAGGGGUCAUGGA
Long non-coding RNA from Oncorhynchus keta (chum salmon), 989 nucleotides. RefSeq lists it as uncharacterized. The record is from RefSeq and is a predicted model, not a curated record. Lineage: Eukaryota; Metazoa; Chordata; Actinopteri; Salmoniformes; Salmonidae. The transcript has 3 exons.